GAUGAACGCUAGCUACAGGCUUAACACAUGCAAGUCGAGGGGCAGCAGGGAUUUAGCUUGCUAAAUUCGCUGGCGACCGGCGCACGGGUGCGUAACGCGUAUCCAACUUUCCCGUUACUCUCGGAUAGCCUUCCGAAAGGGAGAUUAAUACGAGAUGGUGUUUUAAUUCCGCAUGUUAUUAAAAACUAAAGAUUUAUCGGUAUCGGAUGGGGAUGCGUGACAUUAGAUAGUAGGCGGGGUAACGGCCCACCUAGUCUACGAUGUCUAGGGGUUCUGAGAGGAAGGUCCCCACACUGGAACUGAGACACGGUCCAG
This 315-nucleotide ribosomal RNA is filed under the name uncultured bacterium. RNAcentral describes it as "bacterial SSU rRNA". It matches the Rfam family "Bacterial small subunit ribosomal RNA", at positions 28 to 334 of the family's 1533-position model. The record is from RNAcentral.